CGGCCUUCUGGACAGUACUGACGCUGAGAUGCGAAGCGUGGGGAGCAAACAGGAUAGAUACCUGGUAGUCACGCUGUAAACGAUGUCGAUUUGGAGUUGUGCCUAGAGUGAUGGGCUCCGAAGCUAACGCGAUAAAUCGACCGCUGGGGAGUACGGCCGCAAGGUUAAAACUCAAAUGAAUUGGCGGGGGCCCGCACAAGCGGUGGAGCAUGUGGUUUAAUUCGAUGCAACGCGAAGAACCUUACCUGGUCUUGACAUCCAUAGAAUUCUGCAGAGAUGUGGGAGUGCCUUCGGGAACUAUGAGACAGGUGCUGCAUGGCUGUCGUCAGCUCGUGUUGUGAAAUGUUGGGUUAAGUCCCGCAACGAGCGCAACCCUUAUUCUUUGUUGCCAGCGAUUUGGUCGGGAACUCAAAGGAGACUGCCGUUGAUAAAGCGGAGGAAGGUGGGGACGACGUCAAGUCAUCAUGGCCCUUACGACCAGGGCUACACACGUGCUACAAUGGCGUAUACAAAGGGAAGCGAAGGUGCGAGCUGGAGCGGAUCUCAUAAAGUACGUCUAAGUUCGGAUUGGAGUCUGCAACUCGACUCCAUGAAGUCGGAAUCGCUAGUAAUCGUAGAUCAGAAUGCUACGGUGAAUACGUUCCCGGGCCUUGUACACACCGCCCGUCACACCAUGGGAGUGGGUUGCACCAGAAGUAGAUAGCUUAACCGCGAGGGGGGCGUUUACCACGGUGUGAUUCAUGACUGGGGUGAAGUCGUAACAAGGUAACCA
RNAcentral lists this ribosomal RNA (772 nucleotides) under uncultured Enterobacteriaceae bacterium. Its description in RNAcentral is "bacterial SSU rRNA". It matches the Rfam family "Bacterial small subunit ribosomal RNA", at positions 722 to 1502 of the family's 1533-position model. The record is from RNAcentral. Lineage: Bacteria; Pseudomonadati; Pseudomonadota; Gammaproteobacteria; Enterobacterales; Enterobacteriaceae.